UCUUAACACCGAGACGUGAUGACGAGUGUCUACGGACAUGAAGUGACCAAUACCACGCUUCCAGGAAAAGCCACUAAGCUUCAGUUGAAUCAGAACCGUACCGCAAACCGACACAGGUGGGCAGGAUGAGAAUUCUAAGGCGCUUGAGAGAACUCGGGAGAAGGAACUCGGCAAAUUGAUACCGUAACUUCGGGAGAAGGUAUGCCCUCUAAUGUUAAGGACUUGCUCCGUAAGCAUCUGAGGGUCGCAGAGAAUCGGUGGCUGCGACUGUUUAUUAAAAACACAGCACUCUGCUAACACGAAAGUGGACGUAUAGGGUGUGACGCCUGCCCGGUGCUGGAAGGUUAAUUGAAGAUGUGCAAGCAUCGGAUCGAAGCCCCAGUAAACGGCGGCCGUAACUAUAACGGUCCUAAGGUAGCGAAAUUCCUUGUCGGGUAAGUUCCGACCCGCACGAAUGGCGUAACGA
This 466-nucleotide ribosomal RNA is filed under the name Kingella kingae. RNAcentral describes it as "partial 23S ribosomal RNA". It matches the Rfam family "Bacterial large subunit ribosomal RNA", at positions 1548 to 2007 of the family's 2925-position model. Lineage: Bacteria; Pseudomonadati; Pseudomonadota; Betaproteobacteria; Neisseriales; Neisseriaceae. The record is from RNAcentral.